This 513-nucleotide ribosomal RNA is filed under the name uncultured bacterium. RNAcentral's name for it is "partial 16S ribosomal RNA". It matches the Rfam family "Bacterial small subunit ribosomal RNA", at positions 28 to 523 of the family's 1533-position model. The record is from RNAcentral.
GAUGAACGCUGGCGGCGUGCCUAAUACAUGCAAGUCGAGCGAACAGACGAGGAGCUUGCUCCUCUGACGUUAGCGGCGGACGGGUGAGUAACACGUGGAUAACCUACCUAUAAGACUGGGAUAACUUCGGGAAACCGGAGCUAAUACCGGAUAAUAUAUUGAACCGCAUGGUUCAAUAGUGAAAGACGGUUUUGCUGUCACUUAUAGAUGGAUCCGCGCCGCAUUAGCUAGUUGGUAAGGUAACGGCUUACCAAGGCAACGAUGCGUAGCCGACCGUGGGGGGUGAUCGGCCACACUGGAACUGAGACGCGGUCCAGACUCCUACGGGAGGCAGCAGUAGGGAAUCUUCCGCAAUGGGCGAAAGCCUGUCGGAGCAACGCCGCGUGAGUGAUGAAGGUCUUCGGAUCGUAGAACUCUGUUAUUAGGGAAGAACAAAUGUGUAAGUAACUAUGCACGUCUUGACGGUACCUAAUCAGAAAGCCACGGCUAACUACGUGCCAGCCGCCGCCGUAA